Helianthus annuus (common sunflower) is the source of this 1398-nucleotide long non-coding RNA. RefSeq lists it as uncharacterized. Lineage: Eukaryota; Viridiplantae; Streptophyta; Magnoliopsida; Asterales; Asteraceae. The transcript has 3 exons. The record is from RefSeq and is a predicted model, not a curated record.
CCAAAUAUCUCUCCACUCCCCUCCUAACCUUCGGCCACAACGACACCACCACUAGCCACCAUUUUCAUCCAUUAAACACCAUAAUUUACACCCUUUUUAGCAAUUACAAGAAGGUUUAAGGAACUUGCAAGCAUGGAGGAUCAUUAGAGGUCAUUUUGGAACUUUCAUAUCUUCUUAAUCUUCAUCUAAAAGUCCACUAAUCACUUGCGCAGUUGAAAAUGCCACCAAGACGACGAGGGCAAGGUAAAGGACCGAUGAUGGGCCGAGGACCACGACGACCCCAACAAUCCCACUUGCAUUAUUCCAGUGAAUCAUUCCAUGCUUCUAAAUAUAUAAACUCACCUCACCCAAGUCAGAUACCUCAAGACGAUGACCCAGACCUAGAAAUGGCCAACUCUGGAACCGAAUGACAUCCCAUUGAAUUGUCUAGUGAUAAUACCUCUUACCACGAUUCCCCAUACCAUAGUCCUGAUGAAUGGAACAUGUAUUUUAAUCAAUUUACCUUUUAUACUACCCUUGAACACCAAUCAUCCGAACAUCCCCAUACAAUUUCCCAAGAACCUCCUCAAACUCCACUACCUCCACCAGAUGAUGCCCCAUUAUUACCUCACCAACUGGUGGAACAACAACAGGCACAACCAAUAAGGAACUGCACCAAACCGAGGAUAUCGGUGCGACCUGGAGUUUUUUCAAGCUCACUUCCUCCUCUUCCUCCUAGUCACUACGCACCGAUGUCUUGGUUGUUGAAACGAGGAGAAAACGCUUAAAAUCUGCUGGAAAAAUGUUAGCAAUGAGAAUCUGGUCGAGCUGUAGCUGAAUGGUAACGAAAAUCGAGAAAAUCUGGAAAGAGGGGACCGUCACGCUACGCAACGGUGAGACAGAAUAGGCUUUGCGGUACGCGAAGCAUUAAAAUAUGAUUUCUAGAAAAAUAAAGUGUUGCAGUACGCGAAGCUCAAAGGGAUUACACGUCGCGCUACGCGGCGGGGCUAUUAUUCGGCGGCAAACAUAUUUUUGAAACUGGAUUGUUGCUGAAAACCUAUAUAAACAUCAUUAUCAUGCAACUUAAACCUUGUUAGGAACCAGCAACAACUUGGGCAGUAUUUUGGACAUCUUUUGGAGCGUUUUCGAGAGAUGAAAGCAACUGAUUGAAGUUUGGAAGCUAAGGAAGUCAUCCGAGUUGUUGUUUUGCUAUUCAGGUGUCUUUAUUCUUCGUUUCUUACUUUAAUUAUGUUUCUUCUUAUUGAAAAUACUUUUUUUUGAUUCCUUCAAUGACUUUGAUUAGCUAGAUUUUUUAUACUACCUAGAUUGGAUGAUUGGUUUGUAAAGUUUUGAUUUUUAUUAUGGAUAUUUAGUUGUUUAUGGAUUAUUUGCGAAAGUGAUCGACUCGGUUAUUGUUUU